GGGGUUCACAUCAGUGGUGGGUUCCUCCCGGUUCGGCCCGGUUCGGCCGAGCUGGUUCGGCCGAGCCCGGUUCGGCCGAGCUGGUAGCAGUGACAAUAUGACAUCACUGAAUCAGUUCUCUUUGUUCGGGAGCUGGGCCCUCCCGCCCCCGCCCCCCACGUUAUUCUUACCUUUUAUUUGGCCCCGCCCCCAAUCUAUUUGCUGCCUCCCGAGUCUCAGCUGAUCGACUAGAAGGAAAAAAACUGUUUAAACUCUUGCCAUGGGGCUUCAAAGGGCCGCCCUACAGCUGAUCAGUGUUAAAAGGCAGUGUGGUGGUAGAUCGGUGUGUCCAAAAACAAAUGAGUAGACCAGUGCCUCCAAAAACAAAUGAGUAGACCGGUGCCUCCAAAAACAAAUGGGUAGACCGGUGCCUCCAAAAACAAAUCAGUAGACCGGUGCCUCCAAAAACACAUAGGUAGACCUGAAUGCUCCAAGAACAAAUGGGUAGACCAGUACAGCUCUGCAAGCAGUUAAAAGCCUGGUAGACCAGUACUUCUGCUAAAUCCUAAAGAAUUGUCACAUGACCAUUAAACCACACCCAUAAAAUAAGCCACGCCCACAGAACCGGUAGUAAAAAAAUUUAGAACCCACCCCUGGUUCACAUCAGUGGUGGGUUGCUCCCAGCUCUCUCCGGUUCUUUAGAACCGGUAGUAAAAGUGGAGGGAGGCUCCGCCUACCUGGCCGAAUGUCAUAAUUGAUGAUCUGCGCAUGCGCAGAAGCUUCUGCACAUACGCAGAAGCACGCACAUGUUCACCCGUUGCGAACCGGUAGUAAAGGUAAGUAGAACCCACCCCUGGUUCACAUGAUCGCUAUUUGCAACCUUCCCAGCUAGCUUUUGAUAAGAAAGUCAAUUUAGGACGCCAGAUUCGCAAAAAAGGGUUGUAAAUUCAGGCACAAGUCACUUAAAUGGCUGCAUCGUUUAGCAACGGAAGGUCCAGUUCCAAUUGAGGUCAUAAGUCGAGGACUACCUGUAUUGAAACAGUCUUGGCCUAUGGGAAGUGCACUUUUCUCUCUGAACAUUGUUGUUCAGUCACUAAAUCGUGCCCUACUCUCUGCAACCCCAUGGACCAUAGCACACCAGCCCCCCCGGUCCUCCAUUGUCUCCUGAAAUUUGCCAAAAUUCACGUUUAUUGCGUCAAUUGCAUUAUCUAACCCUCUCAUCCUCUGCCGUCCCCUUCUCCCUUUGCCUUUCAUCUUUCCAAAUAUCAGAGUCUCUUCCAAUGAAUCCCGUGAGCUCAUUUGGCAGCCAAAGUAUUUGAUGACAUCCCAUAGUUCCUAAAUUGGAAGAAAAUAUUGGGUAUUCCUCCUUUGGCUUUUGCCCCCCAUAUCCAUACCUCCCUUUUCCUCAUCCUGCUUUCUUUUUCUCCAAAGGUUCAUCUCGGAAGCCACGUUUGGAGCAAUAACCAGGCGCGGCGGGGACGGCGUCUGCCUCUGGAAGGGCCCCUGCCGGUGCUCUCUGGGGGCCAAGUCAAGCUGCAGGACUUCCUGGGACGGGACAUCCCAGCCCAACUGGUGGGGGUGGGUCCCCUUUCCUUCUGGAAUCAGUAUACCGCCUUCGUCUCAGGGGGCCUACCCGCCAAGCCUGCCCACAGCACAGCGGCUUCCGUUGUUUCAUCUUCCUCCUCUUCUUCCCCCAACGUGACCCCACAAAGCCUCUUUGGAUCGAGCAACGUGCCUGGGAAGGUGGUCCCUGCAGAGUCCAAGGAGAAGCCGCCGGUGACCAACUUGCUGCUCCUUUCUCCGCCGGCAGCUCCCGUUUUGGAAACGGUCCCUGAGAACCAAGGAAAGGGGGAGAAGUAACCCAGCUUCUACUGAAGUGAUCCACUCAAGAGGGACCAAGUACACGGCAGCAAUUAAAUCUUAUAUCUGACAAUGCAAAUUGAUACAGUUCCAAUAUAAUUUUAGCAACUUUUUAGUGUUUUACUUUUAACGUAGUUUGGAGCUCCGGCGGCCGAAAGGCAAGGAUCCUGACCCAAGGCAGGGAAGGAUGGUCCCUGCCUUGUACCUUUGAUUUUGUUUUGUUUUUUUAAAGAAACUUCCCUCUCAUGUAGAACAGGAUACCAAAUGGCCCCAGCCGAGGAAUUUAUUCCCUCAAUAAAAGAAAUUUGAAAGAA
Pantherophis guttatus is the source of this 2153-nucleotide non-coding RNA. Lineage: Eukaryota; Metazoa; Chordata; Lepidosauria; Squamata; Colubridae. The record is from RefSeq and is a predicted model, not a curated record.